AUUGAACGCUGGCGGCAGGCCUAACACAUGCAAGUCGAGCGGAUGAAGGGAGCUUGCUCCUGGAUUCAGCGGCGGACGGGUGAGUAAUGCCUAGGAAUCUGCCUGGUAGUGGGGGAUAACGUCCGGAAACGGGCGCUAAUACCGCAUACGUCCUGAGGGAGAAAGUGGGGGAUCUUCGGACCUCACGCUAUCAGAUGAGCCUAGGUCGGAUUAGCUAGUUGUUGGGGUAAAGGCCUACCAAGGCGACGAUCCGUAACUGAUCUGAGAGGAUGAUCAGUCACACUAGAACUGAGACACGGUCCAGACUCCUAAGAGAGGCAGCAGUCGGGAAUAUUGGACAAUGAGCGAAAGCCUGAUCCAGCCAUGCCGCGUGUGUGAAGAAGGUCUUCGGAUUGUAAAACACUUUAAGUUGGGAGGAAGAGCAGUAAGUUAAUACCUUGCUGUUUUGACGUUACCAACAGAAUAAGCACCGGCUAACUUCGUG
RNAcentral lists this ribosomal RNA (484 nucleotides) under uncultured bacterium. RNAcentral's name for it is "partial 16S ribosomal RNA". It matches the Rfam family "Bacterial small subunit ribosomal RNA", at positions 30 to 507 of the family's 1533-position model. The record is from RNAcentral.